AUGGAUAUAAAGUACCGCCAAGUCCUUUGAGUUUUAAGCAGUAGCUAGUAGUUCUCUGGCAAAUAGUUUUGUUAUAAAAUUAUUUAAGUUUAGGGCUAA
RNAcentral lists this ribosomal RNA (99 nucleotides) under unidentified. RNAcentral's name for it is "partial 12S ribosomal RNA". The record is from RNAcentral.